GGCUGAAAAUUUGUUUCAAAGACAUUGCAAUUCGCAAGCUUCUAUCUACUCAACAAGUUAAUGAAUUCCUAGUGAGAUGUUACUGUUCUUUGUUUUCUGUCAUUUGCCUUCAUUUUGUAUUGAAUUUAUAGUCAAAUUUUAAUUUUGAAUCACAUACAUAUAUACUUGUUAUGUUUUACAUUUUUGUAUCUAUUAGAUUAUAUUGUGAUUUUAUAUAUUAUUAUUACAUCAAUAAUUUAUUGAACCUUGCUGAUCCGUUUCCAACAUAUAUAUUUAUAGUCAAAGGUGAAAUUCUUGGAUUUAUGAAAGAUGAACAAUUGCUAAAGAAUUUGCCAAUGAUGUUUA
This 345-nucleotide small RNA is filed under the name Malus domestica (apple). Its description in RNAcentral is "sRNA MD06G0094900". Lineage: Eukaryota; Viridiplantae; Streptophyta; Magnoliopsida; Rosales; Rosaceae. The record is from RNAcentral.